UUAAUUUGACGAAUUUGCCUUUAUUUGAGAUUACAGAUAGCCCACACGAUCUCAAAUGCGGAGUUUGCGCCUCAUAUUAUGUAGUUACUGUUCAUCAUAUUCAAAAUCACUGUCCAUCGUGUACAAGCUCGUGAUCACUCAGCCAAAGCUCCUCUGGCACUCGUUCGUUGUCAUCCACUGUCGCCUGGAUCUCUGACGGCGUUUUGUCAACCCCUGUUCAACCACUCGCGAGGUGGCCAUUUCUUGCUCUCAAAUCUGAGAUUUCAAUUCUAUGCAAGUGUCUUAGGAGGGGUGAGUGUCUUGGAGAUGAUAAUUUAGCUUCGGCAAGCUUUGAAGCCACAUAUGGCCAUGGCGCUAGCUUCAAGGUCAGAUUUGGCUUUGAAGCUCACGACUGCCGUAGCCGCU
RNAcentral lists this long non-coding RNA (405 nucleotides) under Eucalyptus grandis. RNAcentral describes it as "long non-coding RNA (EGRA_LNC003536)". Lineage: Eukaryota; Viridiplantae; Streptophyta; Magnoliopsida; Myrtales; Myrtaceae. The record is from RNAcentral.